UUUCCGUAGGUGAACCUGCGGAAGGAUCAUUAUAAAUGAAAAACGAAUAACUUCAGGGAAGAAGGGAACCUGCACGGCGACCUCCCCUGUCGGGCCACCCAAUACCUUCAAAAUGCCGCCGUCCUAGCGGUGGCAGACGAAAAAAAAACAAGAAAAACAAAAUAGAAACAGGCACGGUGGCCCGUUCACCUUCACACAACCCUCCGAGUACCGCUUCCAUGUUGCUUCCCCGCAAAUCCACCUCUUUGGUGAGCGCGGGGGAGGUCCGCAUCAAAUUCACCUGAAUGUCACAGCAGUCAGACAGCCAUUCAUGGAAACAAUAAAACUUUCAACAACGGAUCUCUUGGUUCCC
This 352-nucleotide unclassified non-coding RNA is filed under the name plant metagenome. RNAcentral's name for it is "partial contains small subunit ribosomal RNA, internal transcribed spacer 1, and 5.8S ribosomal RNA". The record is from RNAcentral.